CUUGUUCUCUAAAUAAGGACUUGUAUCAACGGCACUACGAGGGUUAUACUGUCUCCUUUUUCCAAUCAGUGAAACUGAUCUCCCCGUGAAGAAGCGGGGAUCAAAAUAUAAGACGAGAAGACCCCAUGGAGCUUUAAACUCACUGUACACCUCUAUGUUCCUAUAUCCUUAUAACACAAGAAACCUGUACAUUAGUUUUAGGUUGGGGGGACCACGGAGUACAACUUAACCUCCAUAACAAAUGGGCUAACACCCUUAUCCACGAGACACAACUCUAAGAAUUAAUAGACUAAUGCUUAUGACCCGAUAUUCGAUCAAUGAACCAAGUUACCCUGGGGAUAACAGCGCAAUCUACUUCAAGAGCUCAUAUCGACAAGUAG
Molecule: ribosomal RNA, 380 nt
Filed under: Rana amurensis
Lineage: Eukaryota; Metazoa; Chordata; Amphibia; Anura; Ranidae
Description: partial large subunit ribosomal RNA
Rfam family: Bacterial large subunit ribosomal RNA
Source: RNAcentral